GCAUCACUAAAGUCAUCAUUCAGUUCUGUGACUGUUUGGACUGCACUUGUUCUUCUGUUGUAUUUCUGACAGAGCAGCUGUCGGUGGCAGAUCUGGACUAAUAAAAGACGUGUCGUUACAACCUGUACCCACACAUGCCAACAAACCAACCACAACUGAGAUCCUAUAGACUUUGAUUUAAACUGCAGACAAAAAAUGACCUAUGAAUACUGCUGGAGUCAGUGAUUCAAACAGCUGUUUAUCUAUCUAUCUAAAUACCAACAGGUGACCAGACAGACAGUUACAGUCAGUGUUAGCAACAGUGCUUCAGACAAUAUUCAGAUCUGUUCCCUUUUCUGACCUCACUUUGUAGGUUGGAGAAAUAGAGUGAACUGUUGGCUAUUCUGCUCAUUGAAUUCAUACAUCUUAGAAGAGAUACUUCAAGGUAAACUCUUAAGCAGUUACUAUAAAUAUACAUGUACUCACUCCAGUUUGUGACAUUGCUUUUGAAAGCCAAGUUUUUUUCCCAGUGGAGCACAAAGUCUGAAUCCUUUCUGAAACGAUUAGAAUACUGAGUCAUGUGAUCGUUGCUUCAGUCUGGUUCUCCAUCAGCAUCACAUCUUACUGAGCUUGUGGGAAGUUGAUAUAGACAAAGUAAAAAGAUAACCUUUUUUCUCCCUCAAACGCAACAAGUUUACUGUUCGACUUCACCAUUCAGCUGUAUAAUCAUUAGUAAGAAGGCAUUAAAUUAUCUGAUAAAUGUGGAGCUAAAGGCUGCACAGACAGUAUGUUGAUAUUCCAGCUGAUGUCUACAAUACGCUGCAUGUCACUGAUGGCCCUGCUGCAGCAUUCUUUCACUACUGAGUUGAUUUCAUGAGUCAUGUAAGGCAACAGGCUGAUAGCUGACAGACAAAAGUCAUCAAACAGAAAUAAACAAGCCAAGCAAGAUGUCUAGUGUAGGUUCAGCUGCACAUAUAUGCCAGUCAUGAUCUGUCUCUUAGUUUGAUCUUCUGCUCUAUUGAAUGUGACUCAUUGCUGGUGUCCAAAGUCAGGGAAAAAAACAUACCAAGUCCACUGACUUAAAUCUUCAUGCCAAGCUUGGCUUU
Molecule: long non-coding RNA, 1085 nt
Organism: Amphiprion ocellaris (clown anemonefish)
Lineage: Eukaryota; Metazoa; Chordata; Actinopteri; Pomacentridae
Source: Ensembl